Long non-coding RNA from Nicotiana tabacum (common tobacco), 970 nucleotides. RefSeq lists it as uncharacterized. Lineage: Eukaryota; Viridiplantae; Streptophyta; Magnoliopsida; Solanales; Solanaceae. The record is from RefSeq and is a predicted model, not a curated record.
CUUCUGUAAGGGAAAGAUACUAUUUCAAGUAUAUUUCAAUUUUAAAGCUCAUUAAGACUUGGCAACUGACACUCUCCAAAACUCCAAAUUGAACUAGUGAAAUAAUCAUUAUAGUAAUUCUGAGCUUUGACAAAUAUUUUGUGAGUACUUAUAUAGUUGUACUAUAUUGUCAUGCUGUGACUCCACUCUACUAGAAGAGAAAUAUUCUCAGUAAACAGAUAGGAAGCAUGCAGCUAGCACCAUUGGUGUUGAUUUACCAGUACAUGAUGGAAUAACAAUCCCAGUAUCAAAAUCACAUGUAAUCUAGACAGCUAGUAUAAACGGGAUUUCACGGGUUACCUCUUGAAGCGUGAACAAAGCUCCUCUAUCAUGUGGGCCUCUAAUUCCACCACAACUCAAUGAAAUCUCUACGAUUCCCGAACAUUCCACGGCCUUCUACGUUCCACGACCUUCUACUGAACACAGUUUCUGUGCUAAGUGUCUGAGAUCCGCUGCUGAUAAUUGCGGAGGACGAUGCCCGAAAUGCAGGCGCUUUAUCAGCAACGAGAGAUCGUGCACUGUAAACACAAGUCCUUUGGAAUACAAUUCAACUACUAUUUCCUAAAGAAGUAGAAGCAAGAAAAGCAGCACAAGCUUUUAACUGGUGGAGUAGCAGAGCAUCCAAGUCCAGUAACAAUUGCUAGUCAUUCUGAUAUUUCAAGAAGCAGAGCAGAAUCUGGCGCUUGAAGUCCACAAAAAAGGAAUUCUCACUCUUCGAGAAGAUGAAGUGCCAAGCCUUUUAGCGCAUAUUGUUAUUUUGAAAAUGUAAAAAAAUAUAUAUAUGGAUGAAGUAACCGGGUUGUGGUUACAGUUCAAUAAUCGAAGCUAGGGCAACAAUGGCAUAGCUUGUGAGUGCUUCAAAGUAAAUUAAACAGAUACUAGCUACUGUUAAAUUCGUUCUUUAGUAAUAAUGAAUAGCUAUGGUAGCAGA